RNAcentral lists this long non-coding RNA (4266 nucleotides) under Gossypium barbadense (sea-island cotton). Its description in RNAcentral is "long non-coding RNA (GBAR_LNC021665)". Lineage: Eukaryota; Viridiplantae; Streptophyta; Magnoliopsida; Malvales; Malvaceae. The record is from RNAcentral.
CCAUUUCCAAAACAUACCGUAAAAGACCAUUAUCAAGCCAUUACAAACUUACCAAAUGAACGUUAUAUACACGCACUUAUAAGUGACCAAGAUGAUAUACUUUGGUAAGACAUUUCAAAUUACCAAAUCAACAUAAACUUCAAAAUAUAAACAUCCAAAUUACCGUUACAUAACAUCCUAUACAUGUCAUUAUAAACCUUGGCCAAAAUGCUAAAAAACCACCGAAAAGACUUCUAGAUAGUGUCAUAGAUAUCCGAUGAGCUUCCAAUCAAAUCGAGCUUCUAAUAAUCUAUAAAACAUAGGAAAGAAACUACGUAAGUUAGCUUGUAUAAAUUAAAACAUAACUUACCAUUUUAUUUGCAUAAUAUAAAGCAUAAGUAUAAUAUAAUCCAAACCAUAAGCUUGGCAUAAGCCUAUACAUCACCAUCAAUACACAAGUUAGCACACUUGUACAUAAUUCAAAUGAACUAACCAUAAGAUAAGUCAUUUUCCAUAUGAAAUACGCCAAAUAGUUCAUGCAUUCUUUCCAUAAGAUUAUGCUUAAUUCCAUUUGAAUGCUUACCAUUUCAAUCCCUUUUCUAGCCCGUUGAACCAUUUAGAAUUUCAUUAGAUACUCGAGAAAGCUCACAUGAAGUGUGCCUUUACAUGUAACCGUAACAUUUCCUUUACAUCAUUGCUUACACCAGCUGUGAAAUGGGUCUGCUCACACGAGCUGUAGAGAAUCCGCAACAAGUGCAGGACCUCAGCCAUCAGUAAGACAUUCAAGACCAGCACCCAAAACAUGAAAUCCCUAAUCACAUGUCAUUCGUAUCCUAAGAAUUCCUAAGGUUCAACCGGGACUCGCAUUAUGAAUAACAUAAUAACAUUAAAUUUAAAUAACGCUAAUACGAUAACCAUUCGUACGAACUUACCUCGAUGACUAGGGCGUAGAAGUUAAGUCGAGCUAAUCUGAAGCUUUUGUCUUUCCUUGAUUUAGGUUUGGUUAAAUAGAUAAUUCACAUUUAUGUAAAAUUAUCAAUUUUCCCCUAACAUUUUAACUUUUUUACAAUUUAGUCCUUAAGCUUAUAACUUAAAAUCUAACCAUUUUAAUCUAAAUCCAUGUUAAUCAAACAUGUAAGGGACCUUGAAACAACUCAUAUUUACCAUCGUUUCACAAUAAAACCCUAGAAUUUAUACCUUUAACAAAUUAGUCCCUAAUUUCAAAAUUCAACAAAGAUCACUUAACAAAACUUGUUUAUUUUUCGGCAAAGAUUCAAAAUCUAUCAUUUAACAUCAAAAUUUCUUAGUGAAAUUUUAAUACGACCUAAAUAUAAUCCCGUAAAUAUUAAAAUAAUAAUAAUAUAAUAAUUUACUUGUUAGAAUUGUGAUCCUAAAACUAUUAUUCUGAUAUCACUGAAAAUGGGCUGUUACAUAGAAGAAGAGUAGUGGGAAAUUCUUGAUAAGGUUUAGGUUGCUGGAGAAGGUGAAAAUGGAUCAUGUCAAGGCUUCGAAGAAAAUGGGGUUCUUAUGGUUACUAUUCCUAAAGUUGAGAUGAAAAAAUUUAUAAGAUUAAAUAUGUUAGAAAUUUCUCUAUCAAACAUGUAAAAUUUUCUACGUGAAGGUUUCUCUUUUUUUUUGGUUUAACUGUGAAAGUUGUUUUCUGUAUGGUUGACUAAUGUGAUUACAUGAUUAAACUGAAAUCUAAGUAAAGAUUGGAAUAUACCGAAGCAGUUGAAUUAUUGAUGACUACUGACCAACUUUUUUUAUUUAAUAUAAGUAUUAAGUUUGAAUUAAGAGUUAAGAAGGAUAUUUUGAGUAUUGGAAAGAAAUUAAUUCAAUUAUUGUAAUUUUAUCAUUACAUUUCAUAUCCAAAUAAAUUGUAUGUGUAAAAUAUUAUGAAAUUAAAGAAGGUUUAAUAAUGGCUAUAGCUGUAGAAUUUAAACUGAAACUAGGCUACUAAUUAAACUUUAAAUCUUUCAUAAUUAAAAUAAAUUGAGAGUAAGUGAUCAAAAAAUUGAGCCUGCGUUGAGAUAGUAGUACAUAUGAGAUUAGUGCACUCAUCAGUACAAUCGUUUUUAAUCAAAAAAUAAAUGUUGUAAUCGUUGGAAAAAAAAAGUCAUAAAUGAAAGAAUUUGAAGCAUUCAGUCUAUGAUCAACUCAAAAAACUAUCAUAUUUCUUUUAGAUAAAUAAUAAUAAUAAUGUAUAUUGAGAAACACCACAAUUAUUGUACAAAAUAUCAUAAAUGAAAAAAAUUUCACUUCAUCUAAUUUUGGUUCUUUUAUUCAAUGUAUUUUCCCCUCUAUUUUCUCUAUACUGAAAAUACUUAAAUGCAAAGCUAAUAUGCAGUGAGUAAAUGCCUAUAAAAUAUUUAAUCAAUAAUUAAAGUGAAUUAAUUAAAAAAAAGGUUCUUUAAUUGCUUAAUUUUUAUUUUGAUUUUACUUUAAUUGGCUUUAAAAUUUUAUGGAGUUACAGUUUUAGGUUUAAGUGUAAUAACUUAGUUUUUCCCUCAUUUACUAUGAAUUGAUAAAAACAAUAAUCAAGCCUUUAGUAUUUAACACAUAAAAUAUAACAACUUUUAAGUUUCAUAAAUACCUUUUUAUUUCUUCACUUUAUACAUAAAUAGUUAUCAAAAUAUUUAUUAGUUAUUUCUCGUUAUAUUUUAGGCAUAAAAAUAAAUUUAGCUUGGUGUGGCCACUAGCGUAGUCUACAUAUAAUCCAUAAAAAUUUAAAAAAAUUAAAAUGAAUAUUUAAAAAAUCAACAAUUUUUUUUAAAAUAUUCAUAAAAACUUUUAAAAAAAAGUUAUCCAUGUUUGUAGUGAAGUAUACGUAAAAUUCAUUUGAACUCAAACCCAUCAAAGAAACUCCAAGACUUUCGCUUUGCUGAAUCCGAGACCUAGCUACUUGAAUCAUCUGAAAGACGAAACCUAAGGGGGAUGAGCUACACGAGCUCAGUGUGAGUUCUAAACAAAAGUAAAUGGAAAAUGACGAAGAACUAAACAAAUAUACAGACAACAUAUGAAAAUCUCGAACUAAACAGUCAGAUAUAUGAAAAAUUUCCAUUAACAUACAAAAUACGAAUACAAUAUUCCAAACAUACAAAAUACGAAUACAAUAUUCCAAACACACAUGUUACUUAAUCACAUCAGAUUAUACAAAUCAUUUCACACAUAUCCCAACAUUCACACAAAAAAAAAAACAUAUGCUCUGAUGCGAAAAGAAUGCAACAAGUAAAAAAUAUCACCUAACCAGCCAAAACACUACUCCGACCACCUUGCACACCACAAUUGGGCUAUGGUAGACCCAUCCACCCUACACACCACGGUAGUGAAUCUAAGUCACUCAAAUAGAAAUAUGCAGACAAGUUGACAUAUAUAUAUUUUGGACGUACCGCUAUUAGAUUAAUUUGCUGUUUGACUGUCAAAACAGACUUCUUUUUCUUCACAAUCAAAACCCCAAAUUUUUAUGCAAAUGCAAAAAAGCACACAAUAUGCAAACAGACAUACAAAAGCAGGAACACAUAAUCGGUUGAACAGAACCAUAAUAAAAAAUACUUGUAUUUAGUUAUAAUGUAGCAGACUCGCUAACCACAAUGUCACAAUUAUCAUAUCCCAAACUCAUACGAAGGUCAAAACUAAUUUACCAUAGCACAAACGCAUUUAUGCAAAUCACAAAAUUUAAAUCUAGUGAAUUCCUAUUCAUAAUCAAAUUUAAACCAAAUUAAUGACCCACACGCUUCUACAGAGCUUAAACGUAACAUUUUGCAAAAAGGUUACAAAUUUUUUAAAAUAGGGUCACAUGACCCUGUGGCCCGCUCAUGUGAUACGAAAAUCACAGCCAAAAUUGUUGCAAACAUGAAAAUUUAACACCAUGAACAUCCCCAAAUACGAGUAUUUAAGAAACACACCUGCAACGCACUGCCGAGACACUAGGGAUCGACCAAAGCACCUUCCCAAAAUUGAUCUAAAACUUGAUUACACAAAUAUAUUAACCGGAUGAGGAAAAACCAAUCAAAAUGAAAAAGAUAAACUAAUAGAAAACAAAUCAACUCACAACACAAACUUACGCUUAUACUACUCGCAUUCAAUUGAUAGAAAAUAUGAAAAGGAAGACAAAAUUCUCCCUAAAGAGAACGACAAUCGACAACGAGUUUGGCGAAGAGGAAACGACACGGGAUCACUCAAUUUAUGAGCACAGUAAGUAAUACAAAUAUAAACACUAAAGAAACAAAUAUGAGAAAUUAAAACCAAAUGAAAGAAAGAACAAAAAUAAAAAAUAAAAAUAAAAAG